UUGUCUCCUGGGACUCAGCUGAGUUGACCCACUGCGGAGUUAUAGUGGCUGCGGUGACCGUGUGUCAACUAAGUGUCAUGCACAUUGGUACCAGUUUCACGUGAAUGAGAAUGGGUUCAAUUCCCUAAAAUAAUACUGUCCGGGAGCAGCCAAUGACCGGGAGAGACAACAGGGACAUCCGGGAAGUCUCACGGCCUCUGCUCUCAGGCGGCAGUGUCCCCGAGUCCCCUUGGGAGGAACUGAGGGUGACACCUGGUGCUCUGGCCUAGUGUGGCAGUCCUGGCAGCACCAGCACUGGGCAGGGCCUUCCCAUGGGCCCAGCUGGCAUGAGCGGUUAUGCCCCGCUAAAUGGUCAGAUCACUGUCACCACUGGUGUUUGGUCAGCCAGCCUGACCCCCCCAAAUGACACGUCUGUGUCCUCAUCCCCAGGAGCUGAGAAUGUGGUCUUGUUUGGCAAAAGGGCCUUUGCAAAAGUCCAGAGGCAGAAACCCGGGCGUGGGGAGGCCGUGUUCCGGGGGCCUUCCUGCUGCCUCAGCGACCCUUGGCUUGGGGCCACGUCUCCCAGCCUCCACCUGCAUCGGCACUGCCCUCUGUCUUCCUCGUCCCUCUCAGGACACUGUCAUUGGAUCUGGAGCCCAGCCCAGUAUCCAGGACCGUCUCAGCUCCGGGACUUGACCUUUGAUCAUGUGCAUGAAGACCAUGUUUCCAAGUCAGGUCCCACUUAGAUUCCAGGUGACGCCUCCUUUCGGGGCUCAGCCACCACAGCAGCAGAACCAAGCUGUAACGCAGUGCAGGGUGGGGCCAUUUCUGUGAGUUAAGGUGUGUGUGGGUGGACACACACAGGCCUGCCUGCUGGUUUCAGGGGCUGGGUGACUCCGCUGGCCCGGGCCCUGGGCUGGGAGGGGCUCAGGCUCAGCUUUCCCUGAUACACGUAUGCAGCCUGCGGGUUCAAGUGACCAGGCACUGGCUUUAUUAUUGAAAAGGAGGCCUGGGAGGGAAGGAAGCCGCCAGCCCCUCCGGUACCCCCACAUGUCCGGGAAGGUUCUGUGGGACCGAGGGUGCAGGUCCUGGGCUGGCGCCCAGCAUUGUGCCAGGACAAGGGCUGCCUCUAGCCUCCCAGGCCCUGACCCUGACUGAGACCCAGCCUGAUGCGGGGCUGCUGGGAGAAAGGCACAGACGGGGAAGUUGGUCUGAAAAGCUGAGCAUCCUGGUGACUCUGGUGUCUCAUGAGACCCUGGGCACACUCGUGCGUCUUUCCCAGGACGCAGUGUCCACUCACUGUGCUCACUGGGCACGUGCUGGCUGUGCUGCUCUCGCUAUAAAGUGCCUCACACGUGCUAGGCAAGCGCUCUGCCGUUCAGCCCCAGCCCCAGCCCCACAGCAACCAUCUUCAUUGAGCGAACUUACUGGUAACUGAGAUUCACAGAUAACCCAGAAAUUUGGGAGUGACAGCCUAGAAAGGCGAAUGCUCCUUGGCCCUGGAGAGAAGGGCAGCACCAUCAUUCUCCAUGGAACAAGCCCGUCCCAGACCAUGUGCCGGGCCCUUUCGGGCAUACAAAGUGUUCAGAAGGGCGUGGUUUCCUGGUUCCCCGUGCUGUGGAGAGGACUUUCAGCAGGGGUGGGCUGAUAUGCCUGGCGGCAUGGCACCCUCCCUGGCUUGCAGGCACACCCACUGUCCCCAGUGUCCUGGGUAGUGUCUGAGGGGGGCCAUGGAUGUGGCAGCGCCUUGCUCACUGUGGUGAGGAGUCACCUUUAUCAAACUCAGUGGCCAGGCAUGGGCUCCUGUGAGCCGGGAGGCCUGGCUGGGGUACCUGGGGAAGGCUCAUACCAGGUGUAGGGGGCUGCACAACCUGUCAGACCAUGUGGGCGGCUGGUCUAGCACUGAAGGGGUGUGGCAUCUGGCGGUCACACUGCUGGAUAGCCCUAUCUUCUAGGGUAUAAGCGACUGUGUCUUUGUGCAGGGGCGUGUCUCUCCACAUCCCCAGGGAUCCAGUUACCUCAUCUGUCCUUGUAACCCUGCCCACCUUGACCUUCAUUGGACGGGAUUUCCUAAGAAUUUAGAUUCCCCUAAUAAAAGCUCACUCCAAAGCAUGCUUGCUCCCUCUCACCGGCCUCUUGUGUAGUUCCUCGCUCUCCCAUUUGGAGAGCUUGAGGCCGAGGGCAGAGGAGUUGUCCCGGAGCUUGGUUUAAAGGUGAA
Long non-coding RNA from Ictidomys tridecemlineatus (thirteen-lined ground squirrel), 2197 nucleotides. RefSeq lists it as uncharacterized. NCBI's taxonomy places the organism in Eukaryota, Metazoa, Chordata, Mammalia, Rodentia, Sciuridae. The record is from RefSeq and is a predicted model, not a curated record.